This is a non-coding RNA of Schizosaccharomyces pombe (fission yeast), 306 nucleotides long. The record is from the annotation of a GenBank genome assembly. Lineage: Eukaryota; Fungi; Ascomycota; Schizosaccharomycetes; Schizosaccharomycetales; Schizosaccharomycetaceae.
AUCCAAACAAUUCGGAGAGCUUACCAAAAGAAAUCACUGUAUCGACGAAGAACUUCACGAGUGUUAGAAGAAUCAGAUAUAAUAUAAUUAUUAUGGCGAUAGAAAAAGUAACCACUAGGCUCAAGGUCAAUGUCAACAUUCAUUUCCAAACUAGCGGGAAAUGAAGUUGAACUGGAAGCCAAUCUAAACGAACUAUGUCUACUGUUUGACAGUAACGGCUGAGUGGAAGGGGAAAGGCGAUUAGGAAUCUUCGAAAAGGGCUUUCUAGGGGUAAUAGCAUUAUCAUCGACAGAAGAAUCAACGGAA